AAAUACAUGGACGGACGUCAUGAUAAAAGUGACGUCAGGCUUCCCUUAGCUUGCGCCAAGGCCUGAAGUUUUACAAGUAAAAUAACUAUGAUAAAUUUACAUUAUAACUAGAAGAGGUCACGUUAUUAGUCGAAAUAAAUAUUUGUUGAACCGGGUAAAACUGGUCAGACCAGCGAGCAAUUCUGAGAAAUAGAGCGACCUCGGGAUACUUCACCGAGCGCGAAGAGUGGAAGGGAGAGUUGCACCAUCACUUUCUACAAGUUUAACAUUGUUGUUUCACGACAACAUACAAGUAAAAAUGUAUGAAUUUUCAAUACAUGUCGGGACUGCAAGCAACCCCUUCAACUGUAUGAUAAGAAUAUGGAUACUGAGUGCUUUCCCCUCAGCCACCACAGCAUCCGUCUCCCUGUCGCCCAUGCAGCCGAGUCGCACACCAGGAAGGAAAGGGAAGCGAACACGUCGUUUGCAUAGCUGGGUACCAAAUAUUCAAAUCCAUCCAGACACAAGUGGUGUCAUCCUUGACUUCACACGCAACGCCAGGAGUGAAACCGGAUGCAUACAAUCAAAGCAAAGAUAACGGAUUAGAUUUUCAUUGAAGAUAUGAGAUGGAAGGAAAGGAAAUACAUAUUACUGUACAUCCAUAUACAGUGUAUUCGGAAAGUAUUCAGACCCCUUGACUUUUUCCACAUUCUGUUACGUUACAGCCUUAUUCUAAAAAGUAUUUAAAAAAGUAUUUUUUUCCUGUUUUCACUUUGUCGUUAUGGGGUAUUGAUGAGAACAUUUAUUUUAAAAAUCAAUUUUAGA
This 804-nucleotide long non-coding RNA is filed under the name Salmo salar (Atlantic salmon). RNAcentral describes it as "lncRNA (ENSSSAG00000086043.1)". Lineage: Eukaryota; Metazoa; Chordata; Actinopteri; Salmoniformes; Salmonidae. The record is from RNAcentral.